AUUGAACGCUGGCGGCAGGCUUAACACAUGCAUGUCGAGCGGGGGAAGGUAGCUUGCUACCGGACCUAGCGGCGGACGGGUGAGUAAUGCUUAGGAAUCUGCCUAUUAGUGGGGGACAACAUCUCGAAAGGGAUGCUAAUACCGCAUACGUCCUACGGGAGAAAGCAGGGGAUCUUCGGACCUUGCGCUAAUAGAUGAGCCUAAGUCGGAUUAGCUAGUUGGUGGGGUAAAGGCCUACCAAGGCGACGAUCUGUAGCGGGUCUGAGAGGAUGAUACGGCAAACUGGGACUGAGACACGGCACAGACUCCAACGGGAGGCAGCAGUGGGGAAAAUUUGACAAUGGGGGGAACCCUGAUCCAGCCAUGCAGCGUGUGUGAAGAUGACCUUAUGGUUGUAAAGCACUUUAAGCGAGGAGGAGGCUACUCUAGUUAAUACCUAGGGAUAGUGGACGUUACUCGCAGAAUAAGCACCGGCUAACUCUGUGCCAGCCGCCGCCGUAA
RNAcentral lists this ribosomal RNA (501 nucleotides) under uncultured bacterium. RNAcentral describes it as "partial 16S ribosomal RNA". It matches the Rfam family "Bacterial small subunit ribosomal RNA", at positions 30 to 523 of the family's 1533-position model. The record is from RNAcentral.